This 480-nucleotide ribosomal RNA is filed under the name uncultured bacterium. RNAcentral's name for it is "partial 16S ribosomal RNA". It matches the Rfam family "Bacterial small subunit ribosomal RNA", at positions 355 to 827 of the family's 1533-position model. The record is from RNAcentral.
UAGGGAAUCUUCGGCAAUGGACGAAAGUCUGACCGAGCAACGCCGCGUGAGUGAAGAAGGUUUUCGGAUCGUAAAACUCUGUUGUUAGAGAAGAACGUUGCAUAGAGUGGAAAAUUAUGCAAGUGACGGUAUCUAACCAGAAAGGGACGGCUAACUACGUGCCAGCAGCCGCGGUAAUACGUAGGUCCCGAGCGUUGUCCGGAUUUAUUGGGCGUAAAGCGAGCGCAGGUGGUUUAAUAAGUCUGAUGUAAAAGGCAGUGGCUCAACCAUUGUGUGCAUUGGAAACUGUUAGACUUGAGUGCAGUAGAGGAGAGUGGAAUUCCAUGUGUAGCGGUGAAAUGCGUAGAUAUAUGGAGGAACACCGGUGGCGAAAGCGGCUCUCUGGACUGUCACUGACACUGAGGCUCGAAAGCGUGGGUAGCAAACAGGAUUAGAUACCCUGGUAGUCCACGCCGUAAACGAUGAGUGCUAGUUGUUUGG